RNAcentral lists this ribosomal RNA (514 nucleotides) under uncultured bacterium. Its description in RNAcentral is "bacterial SSU rRNA". It matches the Rfam family "Bacterial small subunit ribosomal RNA", at positions 791 to 1322 of the family's 1533-position model. The record is from RNAcentral.
UAGUCCACACCGUAAACGAUGAAUGCCAGUCGUCGGGUAGUAUACUAUUCGGUGACACACCUAACGGAUUAAGCAUUCCGCCUGGGGAGUACGGUCGCAAGAUUAAAACUCAAAGGAAUUGACAGGGCCCGCACAAGCGGUGGAGCAUGUGGUUUAAUUCGACGCAACGCGCAGAACCUUACCAACCCUUGACAUCCUGUGCUAACCCGAGAGAUCGGGCGUUCCCUUCGGGGACGCAGUGACAGGUGCUGCAUGGCUGUCGUCAGCUCGUGUCGUGAGAUGUUCGGUUAAGUCCGGCAACGAGCGCAACCCACGUCCUUAGUUGCCAUCCGUCUGGUGGGCACUCUAAGGAAACUGCCCGUGAUAAGCGGGAGGAAGGUGUGGGAUGACGUCAAGUCCUCAUGGGCCCUUACGGGGUUGGGGCUACACACGUGCUACAAUGGGCAGUGACAAUGGGUUAAUCCCAAAAGCUAGUCUCAGUUCGGGAUUGGGGGUCUGGCAACUCGACUCCAUG